Molecule: ribosomal RNA, 262 nt
Filed under: Methanococcus maripaludis
Lineage: Archaea; Methanobacteriati; Methanobacteriota; Methanococci; Methanococcales; Methanococcaceae
Description: partial 23S ribosomal RNA
Rfam family: Archaeal large subunit ribosomal RNA
Source: RNAcentral
CCCCNNNNAUAACAGAGUUGUCGCGGGCAAGAGCCCAUAUCGACCCCGCGGCUUGCUACCUCGAUGUCGGUUUUUCCCAUCCUGGGUCUGCAGCAGGACCCAAGGGUGGGGCUGUUCGCCCAUUAAAGGGNAUCAUGAGCUGGGUUUAGACCGUCGUGAGACAGGUUGGUUGCUAUCUGCUGGAUGUGUUGGCUGUCUGAGGGAAAGGUNGCUCUAGUACGAGAGGAACGGGCNNUCGGCGCCUNUAGUCGAUCGGUUGUCU